RNAcentral lists this ribosomal RNA (441 nucleotides) under uncultured bacterium. RNAcentral describes it as "bacterial SSU rRNA". It matches the Rfam family "Bacterial small subunit ribosomal RNA", at positions 360 to 793 of the family's 1533-position model. The record is from RNAcentral.
AAUAUUGCACAAUGGGCGCAAGCCUGAUGCAGCCAUGCCGCGUGUAUGAAGAAGGCCUUCGGGUUGUAAAGUACUUUCAGCAGUGAGGAAGGUGGGUAUGUUAAUAGCAUACUCAUUUGACGUUAGCUGCAGAAGAAGCACCGGCUAACUCCGUGCCAGCAGCCGCGGUAAUACGGAGGGUGCGAGCGUUAAUCGGAAUUACUGGGCGUAAAGCGCAUGCAGGUGGUUUGUUAAGUCAGAUGUGAAAGCCCGGGGCUCAACCUCGGAAUUGCAUUUGAAACUGGACAAACUAGAGUACUGUAGAGGGGGUAGAAUUUCAGGUGUAGCGGUGAAAUGCGUAGAGAUCUGAAGGAAUACCGGUGGCGAAGGCGGCCCCCUGGACAGAUACUGACACUCAGAUGCGAAAGCGUGGGGAGCAAACAGGAUUAGAUACCCUGGUAG